RNAcentral lists this ribosomal RNA (492 nucleotides) under uncultured bacterium. RNAcentral describes it as "partial 16S ribosomal RNA". It matches the Rfam family "Bacterial small subunit ribosomal RNA", at positions 29 to 507 of the family's 1533-position model. The record is from RNAcentral.
AGUGAACGCUGGCGGUAGGCCUAACACAUGCAAGUCGAACGGCAGCACAGUAAGAGCUUGCUCUUACGGGUGGCGAGUGGCGGACGGGUGAGGAAUACAUCGGAAUCUACUUUUUCGUGGGGGAUAACGUAGGGAAACUUACGCUAAUACCGCAUACGACCUACGGGUGAAAGCAGGGGAUCUUCGGACCUUGCGCGAUUGAAUGAGCCGAUGUCGGAUUAGCUAGUUGGCGGGGUAAAGGCCCACAAAGGCGACGAUCCGUAGCUGGUCUGAGAGGAUGAUCAGCCACACUGGAACUGAGACACGGUCCAGACUCCUACGGGAGGCAGCAGUGGGGAAUAUUAGACAAUGGGCGCAAGCCUGAUCCAGCCAUACCGCGUGAGUGAAGAAGGCCUUCGGGUUGUAAAGCCCUUUUGUUAGGAAAGAAAAGCAGCAGGUUAAUACCCCGCUGUUCUGACGGUACCCAAAGAAUAAGCACCGGCUAACUUCGUG